CUGGAAGUAAAAGUCGUAACAAGGUUUCCGUAGGUGAACCUGCGGAAGGAUCAUUACUGAAGUGAUUUUGGGGAUGUUGCUGGCCUCUUCAAAAGGGGGGGCAUGUGCACUCCUUGAAACAAUUCACAAUUUCCAUCACACCCCUUGUGCACAUCUUGUAGGAACCCAGACCCCACCUCUGGGUCCUAUGUAUUCCUUCAUCUCACACUUUGAAUGGUGCCAUUUGGAACGCAUCUAAAGGAUUAUUUGUAAAACAGUAAUCAUAGAAACAACUUUCAACAAUGGAUCUCUUGGCUCUCGCAUCGAUGAAGAACGCAGCGAAAUGCGAUACGUAAUGUGAAUUGCAGAAUUCCGUGAAUCAUCGAAUCUUUGAACGCACCUUGCGCCUCUUGGUAUUCCGAGGGGCAUGCCUGUUUGAGUGUCAUUGAAACCCUCAAGAGAAAAGCCCUUUGUGGCCUUCUUUUUGGAACUGGAGUGUGCUGGCCUCCUUCCUCUGUGGGGAAGAGCCCAGCUCCUCUGAAAUGCAUUAGCGAUGUGACAUCCUCGUGCCAUCACGCUUCUCCAGCAUUGAUAGUCUCUUUCAUGCUUGAGUGUGUGUGCUUGGUGGAAAGUUUUGCUCGCUCACAGACCCCCCUAUGCUUUGACCAAAUUAACCUCAAAUCAGGUAGGAUUACCCGCUGAACUUAAGCA
This 690-nucleotide ribosomal RNA is filed under the name Hygrocybe nigrescens var. brevispora. RNAcentral describes it as "eukaryotic LSU rRNA". The stretch from base 271 to 424 matches the Rfam family "5.8S ribosomal RNA". Lineage: Eukaryota; Fungi; Basidiomycota; Agaricomycetes; Agaricales; Hygrophoraceae. The record is from RNAcentral.